Molecule: long non-coding RNA, 1117 nt
Filed under: Junco hyemalis (dark-eyed junco)
Lineage: Eukaryota; Metazoa; Chordata; Aves; Passeriformes; Passerellidae
Description: lncRNA (ENSJHYG00000017654.1)
Source: RNAcentral
GUUAACUGGGCAGUCAGAGGGAGGCAGGCCCAUUACAGAGCUGGGAAUGCUGGGAGCCCUGCCAGGGAUGUGUGGACACAGCUCAGAGAAAUGUGAAUCAGCCCUCUGGAGCCAGCAGAAACCCACCUCCACCUCUGGUUACUUCACUCCUUUGGUUCUUGGAUUCCUGAAGAAAAAAGACUGCAGAAAUAAUUCUGUUAAAAUCUCCUGUGCACUUCCCAUAUUACUUCCAGCAGCCUGGGCGGGCUGGCCUCAAAAUCCCAAAGCCAGGAGGAUGGGAUGAUGGUGUUGCACAUGACAACAUGCCAGAGCAGGGCCACAAAUGAUCUAUGGCCAGUGCAAAUGCUUCUUGUGUGAGCCCAUGCAAGCCAUUUGCCUGGAUGCAAAGCACCUGAUGCUUCAGUUUGGGAUGGUUUAAUACCUCCAGUAAUUAUCUGAAGGAGGCCUGAACACUCUCAUGAUUAAAUAUCAGGUUAGAACUGGACCUGAGAUGAAAUCUGUGAGAAUGCAGUCAUGUUUGGGAAGGCUUGCAGGAGUCAUCCAGGGCUGUGACUGCGGUAUCAGAGUUUCUUGGAGGGAAAAUUGUGAUGGUUUCUCUAGUGAAAACAAGAAUGGCAGUUUUGGUAGGAUGUUCCAUAUUAUUCCCCAGGCUGGAGUUUUCCCAGGACAUAGGAAUUCAAGUGCCUGAAUGCAAUGCUUCACUGGUGGAGUUGGUAGCUGGCUGAGCCUGAAGCUUGCUCCAAAACUUCACCCUGGAUUCAGCCACAUGUGUGACCCUGUUUCCUCAUGCUCCUCUGUCCAUCAGUAUCUGCCUGUUGUCACUCAUCUGUCACUUACACUGGAAAUGCCCUGGGGCUGGCAUCCCCUCUUUGUUCAGCCUCUUGCACAACCAGCCCUGUGGUAACACGGCCAAACAACAAUUGCUAAGGGUGAAAGAUCGCCAGGUUACAGAUGGCAAAACCAGUCCUCAGGACUGGCUGUGUAAUAGAAUAACAACAACAAAUUCAUAAUAAUGAUGGCAGGAGUAAUGAAUGGUUAUAUUCAAAUGUUAGCUAGCUGGAGCUCGCCACUUGUCUCUUUCUGCAGUUACAAUAAAAUUUAUUCUCCUUGCUGAACA